RNAcentral lists this long non-coding RNA (1160 nucleotides) under Salvia miltiorrhiza (redroot sage). RNAcentral describes it as "long non-coding RNA (SMIL_LNC005475)". The record is from RNAcentral. Lineage: Eukaryota; Viridiplantae; Streptophyta; Magnoliopsida; Lamiales; Lamiaceae.
CGAAGUGGUCGCAGACUACAACAACAUUUCAACGAGGAAAUGUUACGAAGAAACACCACAAAUCCAAAACAACAUACAUUGAUAUAAACUCGUAUUAUGUAAUUGAAAAUCAAAUAAGUAGGUACCAAUUGGUGCGACAGAAAGGCAGUGGUGGGGUGAAAAGCCGAGGAGGUUGCGCAGGCGACGCUUUGCAGCUGGUGGCCUGCGCUGACAAGUGAGGAGGUGACGGCGGAAGCGGUGCUGGUAGAUACGGCGGAACCGGUGCCUAAAGCCAGCAUUUCUCUAUGUUUAUAAUCUGUUGCACUACACUAAUCAUAAAGUCACAUGCUUUAAUCAUCUAUGGAUGGUGCCCCAAUAUGAGCUUUGAUUCGAACAAAGCAAUGCGCUAAAUGAGAGAUGCAUUGCCAUUUUACAAGCAAUUUUGACAGCAACUUCAACUCUAACAAUGAAUCUCACACAAACAGGUUUGGAAUAUUUUUAACUCUUUGAUUUUUCACUAACGUAAUUCACAUUUACACUCAUCAAAACUUUUCUAAAAGGCAAAAACCUGAAAUAAAUAAGAGCAGUAAACGUUCGUAUGUUUCUCUUCCUCCAGUAAAAAAAAACCCACCAAAUGGAGCUUGAGCUAUAGCUCAACUCCGAAGCUAAAUUUCCUCAGUAGAAAAUUUUAAAAAAAAAUGCAAUACUUCACAUCCAUUUCAAAAAAUGCAAUACUUCGCAUCCAAAUUGGCUGCAUAACGCAUGCAAAUGAAAUUCGAUCAUCGAGCAACUGAAUUCAGUAUAAACUAAAACAUCGAAACUGCACCAUAACUCAUCAAUAUUCCUCCAACAAAAAUAAAAUAAAAUCAGCGUACUUAAAUGUCUAGGAGAGGGUGGCGGAGCGGCGCAGUCGCGCACUGCUGCUUGCAGCGCUAGGACGGAGGCUCCAAGGAAGGGCGUGCCCGCGCGCAACCGGAGGAGGCGGGAAGCGGUGGUGACGGUAAUUUCUCGCCGGACGGCCGAGUUAGUUAAGUGAGAGAGAGCAAGGAGUGGGGGUUGUGUGAUUGGAUAGAGAGAUGAGGGGGGUCAACGGCGAAGAGACGCCGGAUCUUAGGAAGGGAGAGGAGGCGGCGAAGAGGCCUGAUUUUUCUUUUAGAGAGAGAACCGGUGACUGAUAACUG